GAUGAAGAACGCAGCGAAAUGCGAUACGUAAUGUGAAUUGCAGAAUUCAGUGAAUCAUCGAAUCUUUGAACGCACAUUGCGCUCUCUGGUAUUCCGGAGAGCAUGCUUGUUUGAGUAUCAGUAAACACCUCAACUCCUUUAUUGUAGUUGGACUUGAGCUAUCCCAACAGGACUUUUUGUUCCUGGCGGGAGGCUUGAAAUGCAGGUGCAGCUGGACUUUCUUCUGAGCUAUAAGCAUAUUUAUUUAAUCCCUUAACACGGAUUAUUACUUUUUUGCUGCAGCUAACAUAAAGGUUGAAUUUCCAUUGAGCUGACUGAUGCAGGAAUUUGGCAAGGAAUUUUUUUAAUGACUUGUUAAACUCGAUCUCAAAUCAAGUAAGACUACCCGCUGAACUUAAGCAUAUCAAUAAGCGGAGGA
RNAcentral lists this unclassified non-coding RNA (418 nucleotides) under soil metagenome. RNAcentral describes it as "partial contains 5.8S ribosomal RNA, internal transcribed spacer 2, and large subunit ribosomal RNA". The stretch from base 1 to 120 matches the Rfam family "5.8S ribosomal RNA", at positions 35 to 154 of the family's 154-position model. The record is from RNAcentral.